This 1062-nucleotide long non-coding RNA is filed under the name Homo sapiens (human). RNAcentral describes it as "non-protein coding lnc-MAGEB5-6:1". The record is from RNAcentral. Lineage: Eukaryota; Metazoa; Chordata; Mammalia; Primates; Hominidae.
AUGAGCGAGUCGAUCUCGAAGUCCAGCCAGCCCUUGGCCUCCAAGCAGGAAAAGGAUGGCACUGAGAAGCGGAGCUGGGGCAGGCCGCGCAAGCAGCCUCUGGUGAGUCCCAGGACAGCGCUGGGAGGGAGUCAGAAGGAGCCCAGUGAAGUGCCAAAACCUAAGAGACCUCAGGGCCGACCAAAUGGAAGGAAAAACAAGGACGCUGCCAAGACCUGGAAAACCACCACAACUCCAGGAAGGAAACCAAGGGGCAGACCCAAAAAACUGGAGAAGGAGGAAGAGGAGGGCAUCUCACAGGAGUCCUCGGAGGAGGAGCAAUGACCGUGCUUGCGUGUCGCCUGCUCCUCACUGGAGGAGCAGCUUCCUUUUGGGACUGGACAGCUUUGCUCCGCUCCCACCGCCCCCGUCCCUUCCCCAGGCCCACCAUCACCACCGCCUCCAGCCGCCACCCCUGUCUUCCACCUGCGACUUCACCACCACACUACACAGCACACCAGCAGCUUCAGGGCCCCCAUGGGCUGAGUGGGGAGCAGUUUUCCCCUGGCCUCAGUUCCCAGCUCCCCCCGCCCACCCACGCAUACACAUGUGCCCUCCUGGACAAGGCUAACGUUCCACUUAGCCGCACCCGGCACCUACUGCGUCCCCACUCCUUUGGUGGUGGGGACAUUGCUUUUUGGGCUUUUGGUUUGGGGGCGCCCUCUCUGCUCCUCCAUUGUUCCCUCUGGCUUCCCACAGUGGGGCCUGGGAGGGUUCCGCUGGCCUUAAAAGGGGCCCAAGCCCCAUCUCAUCCUGGCCUGCCCUACUCCACUGCCCUGGCAGCAGCAGGUGUGGCCAAUGGAGGGGGCUGCUGGCCCCCAGGAUUCUACCAGCCAAGCUGUCUUCCUCACCACGUGGGGCUCACACCUUUCAUCCUUCCCCACCUUCCCUAGUCCCUACACUAGGUUGGAUAGCCCCCUUUGGCUACAGGAAGGCAGGAGGGGUGUGAGCCCCCUACUCCCUCUUUGCAGUGGCCCCAGCCCCCUUGCCCUCCACCUGGGAUCUGAGUACUUAUUGCAGUGA